RNAcentral lists this ribosomal RNA (484 nucleotides) under uncultured bacterium. RNAcentral's name for it is "partial 16S ribosomal RNA". It matches the Rfam family "Bacterial small subunit ribosomal RNA", at positions 30 to 507 of the family's 1533-position model. The record is from RNAcentral.
AUUGAACGCUGGCGGCAUGCCUUACACAUGCAAGUCGAACGGCAGCGCGGACUUCGGUCUGGGGGCGAGUGGCGAACGGGUGAGUAAUACAUCGGAACGUACCCUGUUGUGGGGGAUAACUAGUCGAAAGAUUAGCUAAUACCGCAUACGACCUGAGGGUGAAAGUGGGGGACCGCAAGGCCUCACGCAGCAGGAGCGGCCGAUGUCUGAUUAGCUAGUUGGUGGGGUAAAGGCCCACCAAGGCGACGAUCAGUAGCUAGUCUGAGAGGACGAUCAGCCACACUGGGACUGAGACACGGCCCAGACUCCUACGGGAGGCAGCAGUGGGGAAUUUUGGACAAUGGGGGCAACCCUGAUCCAGCAAUGCCGCGUGUGUGAAGAAGGCCUUCGGGUUGUAAAGCACUUUUGUCCGGAAAGAAAUCGCGCUGGUUAAUACCUGGCGUGGAUGACGGUACCGGAAGAAUAAGCACCGGCUAACUACGUG